AAAGAUUAUGGAAUCCUAUAAAUAGAUUUAUUCGAGUAAUAUGUGAAUGAAUCUUUUUCUUGGGUGUGAGACCUAAGAACCCUACGUUUGACACCUAGCUUAUCCCUUUUCUUUCUUUUCUUUGAGUUUAGCUUGUCCUACAUCACAUACCUUUCUAUCAUAAUUGGUAAGGAAGGUACAAGUAUUUUUUAUUUUGAUGUAUGACUAAUAAUUAUUAGUUGUUACCUUCACACAGUGACAUGAUUUUGCAGGAGUAUUUAUCCUGCGUAAUCUAGAGGUACAAAUUAUUAUCAUCCCUUUCAUCUACCCAGAAUUUGGUAAAUUGAACAUAUUAGUACGCAUAUGUUGCAUGUUGUGAAUCACAUGGAAGAGCUUGUUUGGCCACUUUCAAUCAUUUUAUUUUAAAUCGGAAUUUCUGAACAAGUAUGAGCAUAAAAGGUAUAUAUAUAUUACAUAUGUCAAUUAUCAAUUUUAUGGGUUUUUAGAUGUCUUGAAGAUCUCUAUCUCAGCUAUGAUGUUAGUUGUGCUGAACUGACUUUAGAAAGAAAAGUUAUGCGACUUGAUGGGUGCUUUAUCAAAGUUUAAAGAGAGAGAGUACUAUUGAUAUGGUGGUUCGUGAAUUAGGAUAGUGGUAUGUUGGUUUUACUGAUUUCUUGGGCUGCUGUGUUUGAAAUUUAGUAAAUAUGAGGGUGGAAGUAAAAAUAAAAAUGAAAAGGUAAUGAUGUCAAAAGGAUAUAUUUGUAAGACUAGAUAUAGUUAGAAUUAUGUUUAGCAGGCAGGUCUUUUUUUAUGAGUAAUGUUGGGGAUUUUAAAUUUUGCCUCAAAUGAGUCUAAAAUGACACGACAUUAAAUAUUUUAAUGAUAAUUUAUAGGAUAGCCAAUCAAAUGAGAUUACGGUGACACAUUAUUUGUGAAAUUUUUUUGAGACAAAAUUUGAUACCCCUAAUAUCACCUUUUUUUUUAUUUAUGUUUUAUUUUGUUUUGUUUUCCUUUUCCAUUAAUCCUAUUUUAAUUUGCCAAACAGCCUAAAUGUUUUGGGGAUAUCUGUCUUCUGUUUUAUUUAUGGAUGCUUACAGCACGUUACUGUUUGAAGCAUUUGGGCUCUUUUCCCUCUGGUUGAUGAUGUGGAAACUUGACUGCUCAUGCCGGAAUGUAAAGUUAAGUUUUACACAAAAUCUAUGGUCAUGCGAUUUGAUUCCAUUAGAUUUAUUAAUGAUGUUUCCAAAAUUUGAACUGUUUAUUUUUGUUUCAAGUAACUUUCUUUUCUUCAAAUCACAUAAUCUAUAUUACUGAUUUCUGUUCUUGUUAUAGUUGGAGUGGUGCUGAUUUUCAAGUGGUUUAUCAAUGACUGAUCUCCCUUUCCAUAUCCUUACAUUUCCAACUUUGUCUACGUUCUGCUGCCCAUUUUCAUUUCUAUCUUUACCCCUCUCGUUUCAAUUGCGCCUUUUAGGCUCGGCCCAUCUUUGACUUAACACAAACAUGGCAUACCCCGUUUGAGCUUGCCCGGCUGUUUGACAGGUCUAAUACAACACUUUGAGAUUGAAAUAUUGAUUUUUUCUACUUAUUAUCAAUGUAAUAGUGUCGUAUAAUGCAAUAGAUUAUUAUACUGAUGUGACAUUGUUUUUGUUUGGUUCACUUAUUACAUGUAUUAGUUUAUUACAAAUGUAAUUCUAUUGGGCAUGGGUGUCAAAUUUUGGGUUAUAAGAAGUGUUUAAAAUUAUUAGUAUCAAUAUAUUGGUUGGGCAAAUUACUUGUGAUUGUUUGUCAUAAAGUAUUUUUUGUCUUAUUCAAAUGUAAUACUCCUAGCAUUAUUCAAUUUUAUUACAUUAAUUUGAAGGUUGUUCAUUACCUCCAAUGGACUCUGUUUCGUAAUAAAUGUCAUUUUAGAAGAAAAAAAAUUAAUUCUUAAUUAAUUGUCGUUUUUAGAUUUGUAGAAGAAUUUCUCUUGUUUUCUUAGAUUAUUCUAAAAUAUCUCAUCUU
Molecule: long non-coding RNA, 1980 nt
Filed under: Panax ginseng (ginseng)
Lineage: Eukaryota; Viridiplantae; Streptophyta; Magnoliopsida; Apiales; Araliaceae
Description: long non-coding RNA (PGIN_LNC010485)
Source: RNAcentral